UACGUAGGGUGCAAGCGUUAAUCGGAAUUACUGGGCGUAAAGCGUGCGCAGGCGGUGAUGUAAGACAGGUGUGAAAUCCCCGGGCUUAACCUGGGAACUGCAUUUGUGACUGCAUCGCUGGAGUGCGGCAGAGGGGGAUGGAAUUCCGCGUGUAGCAGUGAAAUGCGUAGAUAUGCGGAGGAACACCGAUGGCGAAGGCAGUGUCCUGGGGAGUACCUGACGCUCAGGUGCGAAAGCCAGGGGAGCGAACGGG
Molecule: ribosomal RNA, 253 nt
Filed under: uncultured bacterium
Lineage: Bacteria
Description: partial 16S ribosomal RNA
Rfam family: Bacterial small subunit ribosomal RNA
Source: RNAcentral